GUCACAAGGUCUGAAACAACAACAACUGAAUGGGAUCGAGCAAUGCAAGUGACGAUGACUGACUGAAUGAAUGCAGGCACCACCAGCACGGGCGGUGGCAGGCGCGCAUCGGCCGCGUCUCCGGCAACAAGGACCUCUACCUCGGCACCUUCAGUACGUGCGCUUGCAUUGCAUUGCCCUCCUUCUCCUUCCUUCCUUGAGUAUCAUGUCGUCGUCGUCCCUGCGUAUGGGAUUGGCGAUGCAUGCAUGAUGAGUGACUCUGUGUGGCCUUUUACCACCCCAAUCAUAUCACGAUCACGCCUCGUCGUCCCCUGCUGCCAAAGAAUGUCUUCCUGCUUUCCUCCUCCUCUCGUUUCCUUUUGCUCGCCUGCUUUGUGGCCCUCCCUUCCUGCCUGCACUGCAUCAUCAGCGUCAGCAUGUGUGUGGUUUCUACUAGGGAUACACACAGAGAGAGAUAGGGAGGGAUCUUUCUUUGCAUAAGGCUGCCAUGCCAUGCCAUGCAUAAGCACGCCCUAU
RNAcentral lists this long non-coding RNA (516 nucleotides) under Zea mays. Its description in RNAcentral is "long non-coding RNA (ZMAY_LNC004121)". Lineage: Eukaryota; Viridiplantae; Streptophyta; Magnoliopsida; Poales; Poaceae. The record is from RNAcentral.